GAUGAACGCUGGCGGCGUGCCUAAUACAUGCAAGUCGAGCGAACAGACGAGGAGCUUGCUCCUCUGACGUUAGCGGCGGACGGGUGAGUAACACGUGGAUAACCUACCUAUAAGACUGGGAUAACUUCGGGAAACCGGAGCUAAUACCGGAUAAUAUAUUGAACCGCAUGGUUCAAUAGUGAAAGACGGUUUUGCUGUCACUUAUAGAUGGAUCCGCGCCGCAUUAGCUAGUUGGUAAGGUAACGGCUUACCAAGGCAACGAUGCGUAGCCGACCUGAGAGGGUGAUCGGCCACACUGGAACUGAGACACGGUCCCGACUCCUACGGGAGGCCGCAGUAGGGAAUCUUCCGCAAUGGGCGAAAGCCUUACGGAGCAACGCCGCGUGAGUGAUGAAGGUCUUCCGAUCGUAAAACUCUGUUAUUAGGGAAGAACAAAUGUGUAAGUAACUAUGCACGUCUUGACGGUACCUAAUCAGAAAGCCACGGCUAACUACGUG
This 497-nucleotide ribosomal RNA is filed under the name uncultured bacterium. Its description in RNAcentral is "partial 16S ribosomal RNA". It matches the Rfam family "Bacterial small subunit ribosomal RNA", at positions 28 to 507 of the family's 1533-position model. The record is from RNAcentral.